AUUGAACGCUGGCGGCAUGCCUUACACAUGCAAGUCGAACGGCAGCACGGGGGCAACCCUGGUGGCGAGUGGCGAACGGGUGAGUAAUGCAUCGGAACGUGCCCAGUAGUGGGGGAUAGCCCGGCGAAAGCCGGAUUAAUACCGCAUACGUACUGAGGUAGAAAGCGGGGGACCGAAAGGCCUCGCGCUAUUGGAGCGGCCGAUGUCGGAUUAGCUUGUUGGUGGGGGUAAUGGCCUACCAAGGCGACGAUCCGUAACUGGUCUGAGAGGACGACCAGUCACACUGGGACUGAGACACGGCCCAGACUCCUACGGGAGGCAGCAGUGGGGAAUUUUGGACAAUGGGCGCAAGCCUGAUCCAGCCAUGCCGCGUGAGUGAAGAAGGCCUCGGUUGUAAGG
Molecule: ribosomal RNA, 399 nt
Filed under: uncultured bacterium
Lineage: Bacteria
Description: bacterial SSU rRNA
Rfam family: Bacterial small subunit ribosomal RNA
Source: RNAcentral